GGGAAAGUGGCUCAGUGGUAGAGUGCUUGCCUUGCAUGCAUGAGACCCUGGGUUCAAUACCUCAGCACCA
Molecule: transfer RNA, 70 nt
Filed under: Dipodomys ordii (Ord's kangaroo rat)
Lineage: Eukaryota; Metazoa; Chordata; Mammalia; Rodentia; Heteromyidae
Rfam family: tRNA
About the family: Transfer RNA (tRNA) molecules are approximately 80 nucleotides in length. Their secondary structure includes four short double-helical elements and three loops (D, anti-codon, and T loops).
Source: Rfam by way of RNAcentral